CAGCAGCCGCGGGAACACGAACCGUGCGAACGUUAUUCGGAAUUACUGGGCUUAAAGCGCGUGUAGGCGGCUCGGCACGUCCGGAACUGAGAUCCCCCGGCUUAACCGGGGAAGUGGCGGUGGAAACUACCAAGCUGGAGUACGGUAGGGGCAGAGGGAAUUUCUGGUGGAGCGGUGAAAUGCGUUGAGAUCGGAAAUAACACCAACGGCGGAAGCACUCUGCUGGUCCGACACUGACACUGAGAGACGAAAGCUAGGGGAGCAAAUGGGAUUAGAUACCCCUGUAGUCCCUGUCUCUUAU
Molecule: ribosomal RNA, 301 nt
Filed under: uncultured bacterium
Lineage: Bacteria
Description: partial 16S ribosomal RNA
Rfam family: Bacterial small subunit ribosomal RNA
Source: RNAcentral